GGAGAAAUGGCAUAGUGGUAGAGCAUUUGCCUGGCAUGCAUAAAGCACUGGGUUUUAUCCU
RNAcentral lists this transfer RNA (61 nucleotides) under Fukomys damarensis (Damara mole-rat). It matches the Rfam family "tRNA". From Rfam's summary of the family: Transfer RNA (tRNA) molecules are approximately 80 nucleotides in length. The record is from Rfam by way of RNAcentral. Lineage: Eukaryota; Metazoa; Chordata; Mammalia; Rodentia; Bathyergidae.